GACGAACGCUGGCGGCGUGCUUAACACAUGCAAGUCGAACGGAAAGGCCCUGCUUUUGUGGGGUGCUCGAGUGGCGAACGGGUGAGUAACACGUGAGUAACCUGCCCUUGACUUUGGGAUAACUUCAGGAAACCGGGGCUAAUACCGGAUAGGAGCUCCUGCUGCAUGGUGGGGGUUGGAAAGUUUCGGCGGUUGGGGAUGGACUCGCGGCUUAUCAGCUUGUUGGUGGGGUAGUGGCUUACCAAGGCUUUGACGGGUAGCCGGCCUGAGAGGGUGACCGGCCACAUGGGGACUGAGAUACGGCCCAGACUCCUACGGGAGGCAGCAGUGGGGAAUAUUGCACAAUGGGCGGAAGCCUGAUGCAGCAACGCCGCGUGCGGGAUGACGGCCUUCGGGUUGUAAACCGCUUUCGCCUGUGACGAAGCGUGAGUGACGGUAAUGGGUAAAGAAGCACCGGCUAACUACGUG
RNAcentral lists this ribosomal RNA (468 nucleotides) under uncultured bacterium. RNAcentral describes it as "partial 16S ribosomal RNA". It matches the Rfam family "Bacterial small subunit ribosomal RNA", at positions 28 to 507 of the family's 1533-position model. The record is from RNAcentral.